GAGGUGAGUACGGAACAAGCCCUGUGUAC
RNAcentral lists this non-coding RNA (29 nucleotides) under Rattus norvegicus (Norway rat). The record is from RNAcentral. Lineage: Eukaryota; Metazoa; Chordata; Mammalia; Rodentia; Muridae.